AAAAAGACAAAACUUGGAUUUCCGUGUCCAACGUUUGACCAUCCGUCUUAUUUAAAAAAAUAUAAAAAAAUUAAAAAGACAAGUCACGCAUAAAAUAUUAAUCAUGUUUUAUCAUCUAACAACAAUGAAAAUACUAAUUAUAAAAAAAUUUCAUAUAAAACAGACAGUCAAAUGUUAGAUACGGAAAUCUAGGGUUUGCCUUUUU
This is a microRNA precursor of Oryza sativa Japonica Group (Japanese rice), 205 nucleotides long. It matches the Rfam family "MIR812 microRNA precursor family". Lineage: Eukaryota; Viridiplantae; Streptophyta; Magnoliopsida; Poales; Poaceae. The record is from Rfam.